This 116-nucleotide ribosomal RNA is filed under the name Aureococcus anophagefferens. RNAcentral's name for it is "partial large subunit ribosomal RNA". Lineage: Eukaryota; Pelagophyceae; Pelagomonadales; Pelagomonadaceae. The record is from RNAcentral.
CCGAACGGCAGAAGUGGUGAUGGGCGCGUAUUUUCCGCCGGGCUCUUGGCCGGCGUACUUGUGCGCGUCCGUAGGUCAGCGUGGGUUGGGGCGUGGGAGUCGUUCAUGGGAAGGUC